This 445-nucleotide ribosomal RNA is filed under the name uncultured bacterium. RNAcentral describes it as "bacterial SSU rRNA". It matches the Rfam family "Bacterial small subunit ribosomal RNA", at positions 354 to 796 of the family's 1533-position model. The record is from RNAcentral.
GUGAGGAAUAUUGCGCAAUGGAGGCAACUCUGACGCAGCCAUGCCGCGUGCAGGAAGAAGGCGCUACGCGUUGUAAACUGCUUUUAACCGGGAAGAAACCCCAGGACGUGUCCUGGGUUGACGGUACCGGAGGAAUAAGCACCGGCUAACUUCGUGCCAGCAGCCGCGGUAAUACGAAGGGUGCAAGCGUUAUCCGGAUUCAUUGGGUUUAAAGGGUGCGUAGGCGGAGCGUUAAGUCAGUGGUGAAAUCCUGCAGCUUAACUGUAGACGUGCCAUUGAUACUGGCGCUCUUGAGUGCGCUUGAAGUGGGCGGAAUGUGCCGUGUAGCGGUGAAAUGCUUAGAUAUGGCACAGAACACCAAUUGCGAAGGCAGCUCACUAAGGCGAUACUGACGCUGAGGCACGAAAGCGUGGGGAUCGAACAGGAUUAGAUACCCUUGUAGUCC